Molecule: ribosomal RNA, 451 nt
Filed under: Graphisurus fasciatus
Lineage: Eukaryota; Metazoa; Arthropoda; Insecta; Coleoptera; Cerambycidae
Description: partial large subunit ribosomal RNA
Source: RNAcentral
GGCUUUUAGAGGAUAAUUUAAAGUUUGGCCUGCCCACUGAAAAUUAAAGGGCCGCGGUAUUUUGACCGUGCAAAGGUAGCAUAAUCAUUAGUUUCUUAAUUAGAAGCUGGAAUGAAUGGUUGGAUGAGAAAAUUACUGUUUCAAUUUUAUUAAUUAUGAAUUUUAUUUUUAAGUUAAAAAGCUUAAAUUUAAUUAAAAGACGAGAAGACCCUAUAGAUUUUUAUAAUAUUAUUAUUUAAAAUUUUUGGAAUAGAUAUUUUUAAUUAAGAAUUUUAUUUGAUUGGGGUGAUUGAAAAAUUUAAAUAACUUUUUAUAAAGUGAACAAUUUUAAUUGAUAUUUUGAUCCAUUAUUUAUGAUUAAAAGAUUAAAUUACCUUAGGGAUAACAGCGUAAUUUUUUAUGAGAGUUCUAAUCGAAUAAAAAGUUUGCGACCUCGAUGUUGGAUUAAAAU